UUGGACAUGGGCGAAAGCCUGAUCCAGCCAUGCCGCGUGUGUGAAGAAGGUCUUCGGAUUGUAAAGCACUUUAAGUUGGGAGGAAGGGCAGUAAGUUAAUACCUUGCUGUUUUGACGUUACCAACAGAAUAAGCACCGGCUAACUUCGUGCCAGCAGCCGCGGUAAUACGAAGGGUGCAAGCGUUAAUCGGAAUUACUGGGCGUAAAGCGCGCGUAGGUGGUUCAGCAAGUUGGAGGUGAAAUCCCCGGGCUCAACCUGGGAACUGCCUCCAAAACUACUGAGCUAGAGUACGG
Molecule: ribosomal RNA, 294 nt
Filed under: uncultured bacterium
Lineage: Bacteria
Description: partial 16S ribosomal RNA
Rfam family: Bacterial small subunit ribosomal RNA
Source: RNAcentral